This 525-nucleotide ribosomal RNA is filed under the name Triticum aestivum (bread wheat). RNAcentral describes it as "partial small subunit ribosomal RNA". The record is from RNAcentral. Lineage: Eukaryota; Viridiplantae; Streptophyta; Magnoliopsida; Poales; Poaceae.
AUGGGUAUGUCUCCAUAUAAAAUAGUUUAUGGAAAAGCAUGUCACUUACCUCUCGAACUUGAACAUAAAGCAUAUUGGGCCAUUAAAGAGCUCAAUUAUGAUUUCAAACUUGCCGGUGAGAAGAGGUUAUUUGACAUUAGCUCACUUGAUGAAUGGAGAACCCAAUCCUACGAGAAUGCCAAGCUGUUCAAAGAAAAAGUUAAAAGAUGGCAUGACAAAAGGAUACAAAAGCAUGAGUAUGUAGGUGAUUAUGUGUUGCUAUUCAACUCUCGUUUAAGAUUUUUUGCAGGAAAACUUCUCUCUAAAUGGGAAGGCCCUUACGUUAUCGAGGAGGUCUAUCGUUCUAGUGCCAUAAAAAUCAACAACUUCGAAGGCACAAAUCCGAGGGUGGUGAACGGUCAAAGAAUCAAACAUUAUAUCUCAGGUAACCCGAUAAAUGUUGAAAUUAAUAUUAUUGAAACCGUAACCCCGGAGGAAUACAUAAGAGACACUUUUCGGAGCGUUUCAGACUCCGAAAAGGAAUAG